GGGGGGGGGGGGGGGGGGGCGGGGCAGGGGGGGGGCGGGGGGGAGGGCCCGGCUGGUGGGGGGUGCUCGAGUGGCGAACGGGUGAGUAACACGUGAGUAACCUGCCCGUGGCUUUGGGAGAACUUCAGGAAACUGGGGCUAAUGCCGGAUCGGAGCUCCUGCUGCAUGGUGGGGGUUGGAAAGUUUCGGCGGUUGGGGAUGGACUCGCGGCUUAUCAGCGUGUUGGUGGGGUAGUGGCUUACCAAGGCUUUGACGGGUAGCCGGCCUGAGAGGGGGACCGGCCACAUUGGGACUGAGAUACGGCCCAGACUCCUACGGGAGGCAGCAGUGGGGAAUAUUGCACAAUGGGCGGAAGCCUGAUGCAGCAACGCCGCGUGCGGGAUGACGGCCUUCGGGUUGUAAACCGCUUUCGCCUGUGACGAAGCGUGAGUGACGGUAAUGGGUAAAGAAGCACCGGCUAACUACGUG
This 468-nucleotide ribosomal RNA is filed under the name uncultured bacterium. Its description in RNAcentral is "partial 16S ribosomal RNA". The stretch from base 52 to 468 matches the Rfam family "Bacterial small subunit ribosomal RNA", at positions 35 to 507 of the family's 1533-position model. The record is from RNAcentral.